Felis catus (domestic cat) is the source of this 5359-nucleotide long non-coding RNA. RefSeq lists it as uncharacterized. Lineage: Eukaryota; Metazoa; Chordata; Mammalia; Carnivora; Felidae. The transcript is spliced from 2 exons. The record is from RefSeq and is a predicted model, not a curated record.
UCUAAAAUUAAAAAAAAAAAAAUUGAAAUAUAAAAACGAAGAAAAGAGUUGUUUUCCAGAUUCUAAAUUAGAGUAAAAUUUUUUUUUCCUGCCGGUAAGUAAAGUAUAUCUUGGGACUUACUUUUAAAAAGUUGAUCAAAAUAUUACACAGGGUAUAAAAUAUUAACAAACAUAUUUCGACCUUUUUAUGAAAUUCAAUUUGAUGACUUUACUACAUUAAAUAAAAAGUAUCUUUGUUAUUUACAUAAAAGACUGUUAACUCCACACAACGUGCAGUUUGGUUAAAAAAAGGAAAAAUACUUAUUUGUAAGAAUAUCCAAGAUCUAAUCUUAAGUUUGUCUCUGUAGCUUGUUUUUAUAUAAACAAACUCCUAGGCUCUUUUCAUAAGGUAAGUAGGAAUGGAAUACUGAGGGUUUGAGUUGUCCCAUAGAGCAAGAACACAGGAAAUGAAUCCCUGCAGGUAUAUGUGACUCCUCUAUUACAAUGUUUCUUUCAGAAAGCAGGACUAUUUCUGGGAAGAAGCGCAUCAGUACAUUUGUGGUUUGAAGAGAAAACUCUCCUUGAUAUCUUUUCUUAAUUUGAAAAAUAAAAGUGACUGGAAGCUAAAGCUCGAAAUUUAACGACAAAACACUUAAACGUGGUAAUAUUCAGAUAUACAACUGCAAAUCUCAGGAGUUUUACAUGUUUCUAGCAUGGAAAUGAAUAUUCCACCUUGGUAUAAACAUUUGUGGCAGGCUUUUUAAAGCAAUCUAAAAAUUCUCAUGUAUAUUAAGCAUCUAAAAUAAAGUUCUUUUAAAAUGCUAUAUUUUUGGGCAUGGAUACAUAAGGCAUAUUACUAAGCACAGAUUUCCUAAUGUUUCCUAAAAUGAGAGAAAAAAGUAGAGUUUUAGUUUACAAUUUUUAAAAAAGACUCUGUGAUAAAAACAGUUUUAACUAUCCUUUGCUAACCUCAUGCUAGGUCAGAUACAUUAUAUAAAAAAGUUUCUUAAAAAGUUAGGAUUUGUGUUCCCCCAUUAUCUUCAGAGGUAGGAAUAAGGUGCAAUUAAAAUUCAAAUUCUAAAUGCAAACACAAUCUUUUUAAUAACAAUAACCACAAUAAAAUCAAGAUUUAAAAGAUCAAUAUUAUAAGUAUUCAUCUUGCUAGCAUCUACACGUGGCAUAAAUCUAUACUCUAAUAUAAAAUGUAAUUCAAUCAACUAAAUGUGGGGGAGUUGGGACCCCAUACACCCAAGCUUUCCAACCUCUUCUUUCAACAUUAACACAUUUCUUCUGUGCACUGUAUUUUCAACAUAGAGUGUAGUUUGCAAUUGUGCACGCAUGAUUGCAUACUAUUUUGCUACCUCCUACUGGGUGUUAAAAUGUCAAAAAAGGUGGUGAUUACAUAGGCCAGAAAGGGUAGAAGACUUAAUGCGUAAAUUACCUGACCACACUCUUUCACCAUCUGGGAAUCCUUGGCUGAUAAGCUGGAUGUCAGAGCUGUUUGACCCAAGACUGUUGUCAGUGACAAUGUGUAAACACUAAUGUACCGUAGUAAAAAAAGAUUUCAUUGUGAUGAUUAGGUGUAAUGAAUUGGGUGCGUUUGAGCUAAGAGGAAUGGUGAUAAUAAAAAUCCCUGCAUAAUUUGUGCCUGCUAGGGCAGUAAAAUUAUGUUACCUUUACAAAAACACCAGAGGAAGUCUCAAGUUAAAUACACUUUUUUUGUGGCUUAAAGCACCCACAGAGGGGAUAAUGCUGUGAAAAAUAUGACAAAAUAAUAAAGUGGGGAAAAGCAGCUGAUCAAGAGUCAGGAGGGCCAGGAUUCUUGCUCUCCUACUUAUGUAUAAGGAGACCUUGGAUGAAUUACAUCUUCUGGGACUCAGAGAAUGUUAGAGAGCAUGGUGUUUUUGUUUUGUUUUGGUGGGGGUGGUGUGUGGAAAAGACCAAGAGCGCAUACUUCUCUUAAUGUUUUCUCCUUUUUAAAGUGAUCUCUAUACCCAAUGUGAGGCUUGUACUCAUGACCCUGAGAUCAAGGAUCACAGGCUCUUCCAGCUGAGCCAGCCAGGUGUCCCUCAUGCUCCUUUUAAUAUGUGGGUUAAAGGAAGAGUUAGUGAGCCCACUAGGAGUGGCAUGUGAGCUCUUCCUUCCUUAAGCAGCACUCUUUUCAUUAUGCCAAUGAUUCCUAGACCUUUGUAUUUAAUGAAGAAGCAAAACAAUCAUUCUAUGUAAAAAAAUUUCCCCCAAACCACGAAAAUUAUUUUAAAAACUUUACUCUUUAAUUAAAAAUAAAAAUACACCUGGAAGGGCAUAAUCUUAAAAUGCUACUAGAGUCCUUCAUAUGCUACCCAAAUCUAGCAAACUGAAACUUUGGGAGAUUUGGUUUUCUCAUCUAUGAGAUGAUGUGAUCAUAAAGCCAUCUUACAGUUCUAAACUCCAUGUCUUAUAUAUUCGAAAUAUUUCCAUUUCCUUUAACCAUUGCCCCUAAACUAAAUUUCCUUCAUCACGCUGGUUGUUCUUCAGCUUUUCAAUGUCUUUACUUACAACAGGCUUGCUUAAAAUUGAACAUGCCCCUCACACCCCAACAGGAACUGCUGCAGUGAGGCUAACCACUGGAGGUCUUUGGGGCUGGAGUGAAGAAAAAAGGUACCCAGUACUCUGAUACAACCAGUAUAAAGGUUCUUCUAUUCUUUGCUGCUUUCUUGCCACAAAUAUUUCCUAUUUCCCCGCCCCCCCUCCGCUUGGUCUCCCUUCCUAUCCCUACCUUCUCUGUUAACAACAAAGCUAGAAACUGGAAGAAGUUCAGAGUUGGCAACCCCACAGCUAUCUGCUAGGAAGCAAGUCAGUCACAGAAAUAGACACUAUCCUAGAACUUCUGUCCUAGUACUAAAGCAAUUUACCCCAAUAUACCUUGAUUUGGUCAUUCGCAAAUUCAAGAACUAUUAUAGAGACUUUAAUAUGCAAAAAGCUCUGUACUAAGCAGUGAACUAUACCAUAGAAGCACAUACCGAAAAUAUAAAUGUUAACUUUGUAUCUAGUUUGGAAAUGUGGGAAAAAACUAUUUCUAACCAUAUAACGAAUGGACAUAUAUUUUUAAUUUAAAACACAAUAAAAACUGCCCAUAAACUAAUGUUUGAGUUCCAGCUCAGAAAGUCUAUUACACCAAAACCCUCCAUCAGUGCUCUGAAGCAUUCACAAUACGUGAGCUGGACGCUCCUGUAGACAUGUAUAUUCAACUGGAGCCAUUAACCUAUCCUAUGAUCAUUAACAGUAUGCUAUUUCCCUACUGAGCUUGGCUAAUUAAUGACUACAAAGUUUAAAAGGCUCUUCUGCCAUCUUUGGAACCACUUUUGAAGAAUUUUAAUACGAAGUUAGGUUAUUUUCAAGUAAAUUUAUUUUUAUCACAUAUACUUUCUAGCAUUUUGAGACCUGUUUUUGAAAAACGGGUUUCCUUCAGUGGUUUUCCCCAAAGAAAUUCAAAUUAAGCAAAGUGUGAUUUACUUUUAAGUGAAAGCUUAAGAAAUGAACACUGUAAGCUCCUUCAUCAGGUUUGGUGCUCCAUUCACUAGCAGCUGCCUGUCAAACACCAUGAAAACCCUGUCCCUGUGAUUCUGCCAUGCAGAACAAUGGAUUAAGGCACCAUGCAUCUUAACAGUGCCUGCCACUCACAAAGAAACUUUAAAGCUCUGUUCACAGAUGCGGGGAUCUACUAUUUGACUAAAUAUUAAACCCCUUUUCUUUCUAUCAGAACUUUAAUAAUAAUAGCAAGGCUUCCACAAAGUUUUACAAAAUGAAUUAUACUAUGAAUAACCCUUAUGCUUCUUUCCACCAAUAAAAAUUAUUGUAUUAUAAAACAUCCUAUUUUUUUAAAAUAUGAAGUUCAUAUAAUAAUGUAGGUGGUAUAUCUCACUCAAUGACCCAAAGUAGACUCUAGCCAGUGACUCCAAAGUUGGAGAGGCAAGGCAGAGAAAAUCUUAGCUCAAAAUACCUUCAGAAGCUGUAAGUCUGCUUUCAAAAGAAAAAAGUCACACAGAAAGCCUUUAUGUGUGUUAAUUAUACCUAUCCAGAGACCUGAAAGUUCUUGGAAAAUAUUAUUUAUGCUCAACAAUUAAGAAAACCCUAACUUCCAGAUGUUUGUCAAACCACUUUAAUUAUACAGUUUCAACUGUAAGAAAGUAUAGAAUCAUUGAGGAGAAGUGAUUUCAUUAAGAAGUGAGGUUUAAUUUUCUGGGUAGAGAUUCAGAAAAUUUUCUGGCUGGCAUUUUUAUUACUGUUUCCUUGAAAAUGGUUACCUUAAGUACUACCAAACAUCCGUUCAUUUAUCCCCCCCAGAAUUAACUCUGGUUUUCCUUCUGUCUAAUCAAACUUUAUUUUUGAAAUAGCAAAUAUUUCUCACAACCGUUCCUUGGGAAAAUCAGAAAAGUGAGCACUGAGGGUGGAGAAAAAGAAAAUGGAAGUGAACAACACACUGCAAGAGUGUUUUGCAGUGCUGGUUGAGAUAACAAAAGAUGAGGCCAAGUGUACCCAGGCCUUUGAGCUGCUCCUGAAAGGAGAGAGACUUUGGCUGACAGCUGCAGACAUCAGCCAUGACAACUGAGCAAACUGGAAGAACUGUUAAGUUAAUCUUCACUUAACCAAAACAUAUUAAUGUCAUUGUUUUUUGGUUUCCUACUACUGAGAGAUUCUUCGGUGGGAGUGAUCUUUCUGAAACACCAAAUCUGAAAACAUCUCUUCUGGCUUAUCUCUCCAGCCUUGGUUCUCAUGCAUCAUCACAGAGGUUGUACCUAAGCCUGGAUUCCAGCUCUGUCAACUCUGCAGUUUUGCGUAUCUAAGCCAGUUAUCAGCCUGCCACCCUUUACAACUCAGCUCGUAUUUCAUUUCCUGCAGAACAGUUUUCCUGGACCCCUAGGUUGGGUUGGGUGUCCCCGAAACCUGUUUUUGUAAGCACCCUGUUCUUGCCUUCAUUUUGUAGCAGUGUGUUGCACUUGUCUAUCUAACUUUCUUCUCUACCAGGGAAGGACCUCUGUGAGAAAUCUGGAUAGCAUAAUGAGAAACAGAGAAAAAACAGUUACGUCUGAUUACCAUGAAGAAAAGACUGAAAUGAAGCUAUAAUGUCUAAAACACAAUUUAAACUAAUACUUUUCAACAGGUGUCUCAGAAACCAAUCUUCACCAACAUAGUAUGAAAGACACGUGGGUUCAGGACAUACUAUGACAAGAUACUUACCCCCUGGUUUCUUCUUCAUGACCCCUCCCCUUCUGGAUUUUAAUCCACUGUUCCAACUGUUGCAUUGAGUUUGUCCUCUGUAUGACUCGAUCAGCCUCUGUGUGUAAGGGCGCGGUAUUUGGGUGGUUUCCACCUCUAAGAUCUGCCAGGCUGACAUUGA